This 253-nucleotide ribosomal RNA is filed under the name uncultured bacterium. RNAcentral describes it as "partial 16S ribosomal RNA". It matches the Rfam family "Bacterial small subunit ribosomal RNA", at positions 524 to 776 of the family's 1533-position model. The record is from RNAcentral.
UACGGAGGGGGCGAGCGUUAUUCGGAAUUAUUGGGCGUAAAGGGCGCGUAGGCGGCUGAUCAAGUCAAAGGUGAAAUCCCUCGGCUCAACUGAGGAACUGCCUUUGAAACUGUUCGGCUUGAGGCCGGGAGGGGGUAGCGGAAUUCCCAGUGUAGCGGUGAAAUGCGUAGAUACUGGGAGGAACACCAGUGGCGAAGGCGGGUCUCUGGGCAAUAACUGACGCUGAGGAGCGAAAGCGUGGGGAGCGAACAGG